GGGGAUUUAGCUCAGUGGUAGAGCGCUUGCCUAGCAAGCUCAAGGCCCUGGGUUCAGUCUCCA
This 63-nucleotide transfer RNA is filed under the name Rattus norvegicus (Norway rat). It matches the Rfam family "tRNA". From Rfam's summary of the family: Transfer RNA (tRNA) molecules are approximately 80 nucleotides in length. Their secondary structure includes four short double-helical elements and three loops (D, anti-codon, and T loops). Lineage: Eukaryota; Metazoa; Chordata; Mammalia; Rodentia; Muridae. The record is from Rfam by way of RNAcentral.